RNAcentral lists this ribosomal RNA (2209 nucleotides) under human gut metagenome. Its description in RNAcentral is "bacterial LSU rRNA". It matches the Rfam family "Bacterial large subunit ribosomal RNA", at positions 216 to 2451 of the family's 2925-position model. The record is from RNAcentral.
AGAAAGAAAUUCGAUUCCGUAAGUAGCGGCGAGCGAACGCGGAACAGGCCAAACCAAUGAAGUUUACUUCGUUGGGGUUGCGGACAUACAACAUGGAUGCAAUAUCGUAAAUGAAGAGAGUUGGAAAGCUCCGCCAUAGAAGGUAAUAGCCCUGUAGUUGAAACGAGAAAGCUACUAGUAUGAUCCAGAGUACCACGGGACACGUGAAACCCUGUGGGAAGCAGGAGGGACCAUCCUCCAAGCCUAAAUACUACCUAGUGACCGAUAGCGCAUAGUACCGUGAGGGAAAGGUGAAAAGAACCCCGGGAGGGGAGUGAAAUAGAACCUGAAACCCUGCACUUACAAGCUGUGGGAGCACAUUACUUGUGUGACCGCGUACUUUUUGUAGAACGGGCCAACGAGUUACGUUAAGUAGCAAGGUUAAGCACUUAAGGUGUGGAGCCGUAGCGAAAGCGAGUCUUAAAUGGGCGAUUAAGUUACUUGGCGUAGACCCGAAACCGGGCGACCUAUCCAUGAGCAGGUUGAAGCGAAAGUAAAAUUUCGUGGAGGACCGAACCCACGAGCGUUGAAAAGCUCGGGGAUGACUUGUGGAUAGCGGUGAAAUUCCAAUCGAGCCCGGAGAUAGCUGGUUCUCCCCGAAAUAGCUUUAGGGCUAGCCUCAAGCGUAGAGAAACGGAGGUAGAGCACUGAAUGUCCUAGGGGGUAUUGCACUUACCGAAGACUAUCAAACUCCGAAUGCCGUUUUCUUUUACUUGGGAGUCAGACUGUGGGUGAUAAGAUUCAUAGUCAAAAGGGCAACAGCCCAGAUCGUCAGCUAAGGUCCCUAAAUGUACGUUAAGUGGUAAAGGAUGUGGGAUUGCACAGACAACCAGGAUGUUGGCUUAGAAGCAGCCACUCAUUUAAAGAGUGCGUAAUAGCUCACUGGUCGAGUGAUCCUGCGCCGAAAAUUUCCGGGGCUAAAACGUACUACCGAAGCUACGGCAUCAUUUAUGAUGGGUAGGGGAGCUUCGUAUGCAGGCUGAAGCAUGACCGUAAGGACAUGUGGACAGUAUACGAGUGAGAAUGUUGGCAUGAGUAGCGAGACGUGGGUGAGAAUCCCACGGGCCGUAAACCCAAGGUUUCCAGGGGAAGGUUCGUCCGCCCUGGGUUAGUCGGGACCUAAGCCGAGGCCGAAAGGCGUAGGUGAUGGACAACAGGUUGAUAUUCCUGUACCGCCAAUAAGCGUUUGAGAGAUGGAGUGACACAGUAGGAUAAGCUAACCGUACUGUUGGUUAUGUACGGCUAAGCAUUGAGGCAGUCUAAAUAGGCAAAUCCGUUUAGACAAUGCUAGGAUGUGAUGGGGAAGCCCUUCGGGGCGAAGUAGCUGAUUUCACACUGUCAAGAAAAGCUUCUAUCGAGUUUAAAGGCGCCCGUACCGUAAACCGACACAGGUGGGUGAGGAGAGUAUCCUAAGGCCAGCGAGAGAACUAUUGUUAAGGAACUCGGCAAAAUGACCCCGUAACUUAGGGAGAAGGGGUGCCUGUCUAUGACAGGCCGCAGAGAAUAGGCCCAAGCGACUGUUUACCAAAAACACAGGUUUCUGCUAAGUCGCAAGACGAUGUAUAGGAGCUGACGCCUGCCCGGUGCUGGAAGGUUAAGGGGAUCUGUUAGAGCAAUCGAAGCAGUGAACUUAAGCCCCAGUAAACGGCGGCCGUAACUAUAACGGUCCUAAGGUAGCGAAAUUCCUUGUCGGGUAAGUUCCGACCCGCACGAAAGGCGUAACGAUUUGGGCACUGUCUCAACAAUAGACUCGGUGAAAUUGUAAUCCCGGUGAAGAUGCCGGGUACCUGCGACAGGACGGAAAGACCCCAUGGAGCUUUACUGUAGCUUGACGUUGGGUCUUGGUACUACAUGUACAGGAUAGGUGGGAGACUAUGAAGCAUGGACGCCAGUCUGUGUGGAGUCAUCCUUGGGAUACCACCCUUGUAGUACUGGGAUCCUAACCAUAGGCCUUGAAUCAGGUCUUGGAACACCGUCAGGUGGGCAGUUUGACUGGGGCGGUCGCCUCCUAAAAAGUAACGGAGGCGCUCAAAGGUUUCCUCAGCACGGUCGGAAAUCGUGCGAAGAGUGUAAAGGCAAAAGGAAGCUUGAUUGCAAGACAUACAGGUCGAGCAAGGACGAAAGUCGGACUUAGUGAUCCGGUGGUACCGCAUGGAAGGGCCAUCGCUCA